Molecule: non-coding RNA, 1648 nt
Organism: Hydra vulgaris (swiftwater hydra)
Lineage: Eukaryota; Metazoa; Cnidaria; Hydrozoa; Anthoathecata; Hydridae
Source: RefSeq, a predicted model, not a curated record
UAUAUCAAUAUCAAUAAAAAUAACAUAUUUUAUUUCCAUAUGGAAGAGUGAAUAGUUAAGUAACAAAGAAAUCCGUAUGAUGUUUUCACUGCGCUUAUUUAUGUAAAUAAAACGGGGGGAAAUUCUACAAAUCACCUUAAAAAAAAAAAAAAACCCACCCUAUAUAAACCUGACAAAAAAUUAAAAACUCAUGAACAUACCAAAUAAAUAGUUUCAGAACCUAUUUUAAUGUGAUGGCAGAUGUAGGCCCGGAUUAAAAUCUAUAGUGCCCAUAGGCUGUAAAAAAUUUGGUGCCCCCAAUUAAAAAAAUAUAUUGUACACAUUUCUCUACUCGAUACUUGAAUAAAUAAUAAAACUUUAUUUUAGGUUUAAUAGCCACAUCAAUAUGUACAUGUGUAUAAUACCUAUGUGGAAACAAGUAAAAACAUAAAUUUAAAAUUAAACAAAAUAUAUUUUAGAUAUAUAAAAAUAUAAAACAAUCAUAUUACAAAAAGUAACAAACCAUUAGUUUAUACUUUUCUUUUUCUGGCUUUUUGAUGGGCAAAUGUGUUAAUAGUAUCACUAAAAUCUAAUUUUUCAACCAAUUCUGCUUCAAUGCUAAAUAUUGCUAAUGCUUUCAGUUUUUCCUCCUUCAUGGUUGACCUCAAGUAGGAUUUUACUCUUUUAAGUACAGAAAAAGCUAUUUGAAGCUAUUGAAACUGCUGUACUAAGGUACAUACGCAUAACUAUUUCUAAAUUUGGAAUCAUACACUCUAAUUCUUUGGUCUUGAUGUACUUAUACAUAGAGAGAACAGAUUUUACAUUUUUAUCCGUUUUCAACAUCAUCAAUAAAAUAUUUUGCCAAAGUUUCACAUGUGUUUCUUACAACAAUAGAACUCGAUGUUUUAUACAAUGGGCAUACACCCAUAAAUAUCUGAUAUUUUUUCAUAAGCUUGUCUUCUCGAACUAAGUUGACAUUUAAGAGUAUCAAUGAUCACAUAAUAUACAUUUCUAAUAAAAUCUAUUUUCCCUGUGAUUUCUGUGAGAGGUUGAGAUCUUGAUUCAUCAGCCAUAGCCUAAAAAAAAAUAGUUUUUAAUGUUGUUAAUGUUUAUGACUUUUUCCAAAUUAUUUUAUGUGUAUUUUAAAAUUAAUAAGUUAAACAUACCUUUCUCUUUUUUUUUCUCUUGGAAUCUUUGGCAUAGUCCGAACAACCAGUAAUUUCUAUAUCCUUAUUUUCAAAAACAUCAAAAUCAUCUCUGAUCUGUACAGAUCAGAGAUGAUUUUAUUCUGUUUUAAUAUCUGUGUAAUGUUAGUUUAAAAUAAUAUUUUUUAAUAUAUUGAUUUUAUAUAUUAGGUAGGUGGCCAUUCUGUUCCUAGCUUCAGAAGUUAUUUAUAACUAUGCAAUACUUUCGCUCAGGUUAAAGAAUGGAAUACUAGUCUUGCAUCAAAUGUAUGUAAAAAUCUAGCUUUUAUAUAUUAACUUGUGAUCAGAGCAACUGGUAUGUUGGUUGGAUAUAUUACAUAUCCAUUCGAUGUUUAUCACCAGAAGUUAGUUCUACCUUUGCAGUACCUCUGCUCUACAUACCUCCUCGCUGGUUAAAGAAUGGAAUAUAAAUCUCAUAUCAAGUUGGUGUAAAAAUUUAGUUCAAUAAAUUAAGAAUUUAUAAA